Non-coding RNA from Oryctolagus cuniculus (rabbit), 1501 nucleotides. NCBI's taxonomy places the organism in Eukaryota, Metazoa, Chordata, Mammalia, Lagomorpha, Leporidae. The record is from RefSeq and is a predicted model, not a curated record.
ACUAUGUACUUUAUAAAUGAGUAUUUUACAGAAGACCAUAGGUACAUAAAACUAACUCCUAUUACAAUAUUUAUACACUAUUGUCUAUGUUCUCUUUUUGUGUUAGCAUUAUUUACUUACAACUUUAUUUUCAUUUUAUUUGAAAGGCAGAGAGACAAGAAAGAUCUUCAUCUAUUGGUUCAACCAUGGCUGGUUAGGCCAAGCACCAGGAACUUAAUCCGGUUCUCCCACAUGGGUGGCAGGAACCCAGCAUCCAACACAAAAAUUGUCUUCAGUCUAUGAAUGAUCAAAUGACGAUGGAAAACCACAAAGACUUUUUUCAUGGACCUUGGAGCUGAGAUGCCUUCUUGUCAAACUUGCAAAUUUCAGGAAACUGGGCCAACUCCAGGCAAUAUAACAAGAUUCACAAUUGUACUAACUUAGACUGAUGAUCUACCUUUAAGAAGUUAGAGAAGUGUUCAGUUGAGGUUGCAACUGCUCAGAGAGUACAUCAAAGGGAAAGACACUCUGUUCUCAGACACACCAGGGCCUCCCUCUUAGCAAUCUGGGAAUGUGCUUCUGAAAGGAGAAAGCACUUUUGCAGCUGAAAAGCUAAGGUGCCAACACAGGCGAACAGAAGUCUCCAGGCCGGCACCGCGGCUCACUAGGCUAAUCCUCCACCUUGCGGCGCCGGCACACCGGGUUCUAGUCCCGGUCGGGGCGCUGGAUUCUGUCCCGGUUGCCCCUCUUCCAGGCCAGCCCUCUGCUGUGGCCAGGGAGUGCAGUGGAGGAUGGCCCAGGUGCUUGGGCCCUGUACUCCAUGGGAGACCAGGAAAAAGCACCUGGCUCCUGGCUCCUGCCAUCGGAUCAGCGCGGUGCGCCGGCCGCAGCGCGCCGGCCGCGGCGGCCAUUGGAAGGUGAACCAACGGCAAAGGAAGACCUUUCUCUCUGUCUCUCUCUCUCACUGUCCACUCUGCCUGUCAAAAAAAAAAAAAAAAAGUCUCCAGAAGCAGUGAGUACUCCCCCCAAACUGAUGAGGGUGCAGCUGCAAGGGCAGAGGAGAACAGGCCUGACGUCACCCCGUGUCCACUCCACAUCCCGCUGCCCGGGCCUAGGUCCUGUGAGGAGGCCUCUGUCUCUGACCUCUGCCGUGAAGAUAUGAGCAAAGUCGCAGUGGCCAAGUGGUCAAGUGUCCUUUCACAGCCAACUGGAGGAGAUGAGGGUUGGGUGAAAAUUAUGUUUGGAAAGGGGUUUUUUAAACUGAGGAUUCUGAAUUAAUAUGACUUGAAACUGCUGAUGACCCUUUGCACCUAUCUAUGGUAGCUGUGAAUGAUGCCCACUCAAUCUCUUUGUAUCCUCUGCUUUUCCUUAUUCUGAGAGCAUGAGGAAAAUUAUCAGAAGCCACAGGAGUUGCCUGUACAUCAAGAACCAUGAAAGGUUUAACCUAAUAGAAUGCAAAAGAAAAGCAAUGAAUUAUCAGGGCAUUUAUUUAAUUUAUAAUCAAAUAUAAGAAGUUUAUGAA